RNAcentral lists this small nucleolar RNA (99 nucleotides) under Brettanomyces bruxellensis AWRI1499. The record is from RNAcentral. Lineage: Eukaryota; Fungi; Ascomycota; Pichiomycetes; Pichiales; Pichiaceae.
UAGCGUGAUGAUCCACUUUUAUUCACACUGUAUGACUUGUCUGUAUUCAGACAUACAUGAAUAAUCACAAAAAAAAAAACUGAUUUAAUGAGACUGAUA